Molecule: ribosomal RNA, 485 nt
Filed under: uncultured bacterium
Lineage: Bacteria
Description: partial 16S ribosomal RNA
Rfam family: Bacterial small subunit ribosomal RNA
Source: RNAcentral
ACUCAAAUGAAUUGACGGGGACCCGCACAAGCAGAGGAGGAUGUGGUUUAAUAUGACGCUACGCGUAGAACCUUACCCAGGCUUGACAUCUUAGGAAUCUUUGAGAAAUCAGAGAGUGCCUUCGGGAGCCUAAUGACAGGUGCUGCAUGGCCGUCGUCAGCUCGUGUCGUGAGAUGUUGGGUUAAGUCCCGCAACGAGCGCAACCCUUAUCGUAUGUUGUAUUUUUCAUGCGAGACUGCCCGGGCCAACCGGGAGGAAGGUGGGGAUGACGUCAGGUCGGCAUGGCCCUUACGCCUGGGGCCACACACGUCCUACAAUGGCUAGUACAACGCGUUGCCAACCCGCGAGGGGGAGCUAAUCGCAUCAAAACUAGUCUCAGUUCGGAUUGGAGGCUGCAACUCGCCUCCAUGAAGUCGGAUUUGCUAGUAAACGUGGGUCAGCACACCACGUUGAAUACGUUCCCGGGUCUUGUACACACCGCCCGU